UGGGGAAUUUUGGACAAUGGGCGCAAGCCUGAUCCAGCCAUGCCGCGUGAGUGAAGAAGGCCUUCGGGUUGUAAAGCUCUUUCGGCGGGGACGAAACGGUUCGUGACAACACCACGGACUAAUGACGGUACCCGCAUAAGAAGCACCGGCUAACUACGUGCCAGCAGCCGCGGUAAUACGUAGGGUGCAGGCGUUAAUCGGAAUUACUGGGCGUAAAGCGUGCGCAGGCGGCUCCUUAAGUCAGAUGUGAAAUCCCCGGGCUCAACCUGGGAACUGCAUUUGUGACUGUAUAGCUAGAGUACGGUAGAGGGGGAUGGAAUUCCGCGUGUAGCAGUGAAAUGCGUAGAUAUGCGGAGGAACACCGAUGGCGAAGGCAAUCCCCUGGACCUGUACUGACGCUCAUGCACGAAAGCGUGGGGAGCAAACAGGAUUAGAUACCCUCGUAGUCCCUGAGCGGGCUGGCAAGGCGCAU
Molecule: ribosomal RNA, 472 nt
Filed under: uncultured bacterium
Lineage: Bacteria
Description: bacterial SSU rRNA
Rfam family: Bacterial small subunit ribosomal RNA
Source: RNAcentral